GUACCGGCAUGUUGGAUCCCUGCUCUGGCAGCGACGGCAUCUCGUCCGUGUCUCUUCAGUUGUUGGCUCGAGCACGUGCUCGUCCGGCAUCGGUUUUCCUGUGCUGAAUACCUACCGCGAGGGCAUUCUGUCGUCUAAUAUCGUCCCUUUCCCGCCCCUUGCUGCCGCCCCUCGUGGGCGAGCGGUGCGGGGUGGGCCAAGCAGCGCACGUCGUGUCUCGCACCCCUCUCGUCUGUUCCUACGGGCGUCCGGGCUGACGAACCACGACGGAUCGCUCGAUCUCUCGGGUACAGAACAUCACGUGGGUACGGGGCCUUCGGCUCCCGAGCACCACAAACAAGCGUUCUACGCUUCGUGCGAACGACCGUCGGACUGUUCUCCCGCCCUGUCCUCGUGGCUCGGUUGGGAGUCGGUCCGGCGUCGGUGAGGAAUGCUACCU
Molecule: unclassified non-coding RNA, 439 nt
Filed under: Cedronella canariensis
Lineage: Eukaryota; Viridiplantae; Streptophyta; Magnoliopsida; Lamiales; Lamiaceae
Description: partial external transcribed spacer
Source: RNAcentral